RNAcentral lists this unclassified non-coding RNA (373 nucleotides) under soil metagenome. RNAcentral describes it as "partial contains 5.8S ribosomal RNA, internal transcribed spacer 2, and large subunit ribosomal RNA". The stretch from base 1 to 121 matches the Rfam family "5.8S ribosomal RNA", at positions 35 to 154 of the family's 154-position model. The record is from RNAcentral.
GAUGAAGAACGUAGCGAAAUGCGAUAAGUAAUGCGAAUUGCAGAAUUCCAGUGAGUCAUCGAAUCUUUGAACGCACAUUGCGCCCUUUGGUAUUCCGAAGGGCAUGCCUGUUCGAGCGUCAUUAUCACCCCUCAAGCCCUCGGCUUGGUGUUGGACGGUUUGGUGGAGGCCCCCUCGGGGGUUCCUGCCCCUCCCAAAGACAAUGACGGCGGCCUCGUUGGACCCCCGGUACACUGAGUUCUUCACGGGACACGUAUCGGACACAUGGGUUUACGGGACACGGUCUGCCUCCCCUCAGGGAGAACCUUUCUAAGGUUGACCUCGGGUCAGGUAGGGAUACCCGCUGAACUUAAGCAUAUCAAUAAGCGGAGGA